GACGAACGCUGGCGGCGUGCUUAACACAUGCAAGUCGAACGCUGAAGCUUGGUGCUUGCACUGGGUGGAUGAGUGGCGAACGGGUGAGUAAUACGUGAGUAACCUGCCCUUGACUCUGGGAUAAGCCUGGGAAACUGGGUCUAAUACUGGAUACGACAUGUCACCGCAUGGUGGUGUGUGGAAAGGGUUUUACUGGUUUUGGAUGGGCUCACGGCCUAUCAGCUUGUUGGUGGGGUAAUGGCUCACCAAGGCGACGACGGGUAGCCGGCCUGAGAGGGUGACCGGCCACACUGGGACUGAGACACGGCCCAGACUCCUACGGGAGGCAGCAGUGGGGAAUAUUGCACAAUGGGCGGAAGCCUGAUGCAGCGACGCCGCGUGAGGGAUGACGGCAUUCGGGUUGUAAACCUCUUUCAGCACGGAAGAAGCGAAAGUGACGGUACGUGCAGAAGAAGCGCCGGCUAACUACGUG
RNAcentral lists this ribosomal RNA (472 nucleotides) under uncultured bacterium. Its description in RNAcentral is "partial 16S ribosomal RNA". It matches the Rfam family "Bacterial small subunit ribosomal RNA", at positions 28 to 507 of the family's 1533-position model. The record is from RNAcentral.